This 466-nucleotide ribosomal RNA is filed under the name uncultured bacterium. RNAcentral describes it as "partial 16S ribosomal RNA". It matches the Rfam family "Bacterial small subunit ribosomal RNA", at positions 28 to 507 of the family's 1533-position model. The record is from RNAcentral.
GAUGAACGCUGGCGGCGUGCUUAACACAUGCAAGUCGAACGAUGAAGCCCAGCUUGCUGGGUGGAUUAGUGGCGAACGGGUGAGUAACACGUGAGUAACCUGCCCUUAACUCUGGGAUAAGCCUGGGAAACUGGGUCUAAUACCGGAUAGGAGCGUCCACCGCAUGGUGGGUGUUGGAAAGAUUUAUCGGUUUUGGAUGGGCUCGCGGCCUAUCAGCUUGUUGGUGAGGUAAUGGCUCACCAAGGCGACGACGGGUAGCCGGCCUGAGAGGGUGACCGGCCACACUGGGACUGAGACACGGCCCAGACUCCUACGGGAGGCAGCAGUGGGGAAUAUUGCACAAUGGGCGCAAGCCUGAUGCAGCGACGCCGCGUGAGGGAUGACGGCCUUCGGUUUGUAAACCUCUUUCAGUAGGGAAGAAGCGAAAGUGACGGUACCUGCAGAAGAAGCACCGGCUAACUACGUG